GCCGAGGGGCCCCGCGGCGCCGCCCUCACGGCUCGGCGGGGCUCGGGGGGGUUUCAGGCCGUGUGGCUUCGCCGCCCGCCGUGCCGCCCCACAGCCGCGCUCCGGUGAAUGAGAGCCCUGUAGGGCCGUGGUAAACCUGGCCCCAAAAUAACUGAGUUAAUAAAUCACCUGGUUUGCACAUUGGCCAGAAUAGAAGACUCUGAAAAUGCUGCAGCUGGUGAUUUUAAACUUCCUAUUUCCUAUCAAAGUUGCUGAGGCUGCAGAAGCAAUCUCUGCGAUGGUUACCAUCUUCAAGCCUGUCCCAGAUAUCAGUAAACAGAGCU
This 323-nucleotide long non-coding RNA is filed under the name Corvus moneduloides (New Caledonian crow). RNAcentral describes it as "lncRNA (ENSCMUG00000019721.1)". Lineage: Eukaryota; Metazoa; Chordata; Aves; Passeriformes; Corvidae. The record is from RNAcentral.